Molecule: ribosomal RNA, 492 nt
Filed under: uncultured bacterium
Lineage: Bacteria
Description: partial 16S ribosomal RNA
Rfam family: Bacterial small subunit ribosomal RNA
Source: RNAcentral
AGUGAACGCUGGCGGUAGGCCUAACACAUGCAAGUCGAACGGCAGCACAGUAAGAGCUUGCUCUUACGGGUGGCGAGUGGCGGACGGGUGAGGAAUACAUCGGAAUCUACUUUUUCGUGGGGGAUAACGUAGGGAAACUUACGCUAAUACCGCAUACGACCUACGGGUGAAAGCAGGGGAUCUUCGGACCUUGCGCGAUUGAAUGAGCCGAUGUCGGAUUAGCUAGUUGGCGGGGUAAAGGCCCACCAAGGCGACGAUCCGUAGCUGGUCUGAGAGGAUGAUCAGCCACACUGGAACUGAGACACGGUCCAGACUCCUACGGGAGGCAGCAGUGGGGAAUAUUGGACAAUGGGCGCAAGCCUGAUCCAGCCAUACCGCGUGGGUGAAGAAGGCCUUUGGGUUGUAAAGCCCUUUUGCUGGGAAAGAAAAGCAGCAGGUUAAUACCCCGCUGUUCUGACGGUACCCAAAGAAUAAGCACCGGCUAACUUCGUG